AGUUCACAAUUUUUACCUUCAGUAGGAACAAGAGUUUAACAGCUAGAAGACUUGACAAAAGGGAGAUAUGCUACUACCAUGGAUAUGUGGAGGAUGUUCCUAAAUCAGAAGCUAGGAUAAGUGCAUGUUCUGGAAAACUCAGUGGCCUUCUGAAAGUUAAUGAGACCUGGUAUGAAAUUGUACCACUGGCAUCAUCAUCUACACAGCAGCAUCUGAUUUAUGAUGUGAGAAAUUUUCAGCCAAAGCCAAGUUUCUGUGGAGUACUAAAUGAGCAUGUCCCAGAGGGUCAACAUUUCCAUACUGGAAAUCAGUA
This is a long non-coding RNA of Protopterus annectens (West African lungfish), 313 nucleotides long. RefSeq lists it as uncharacterized. The record is from RefSeq and is a predicted model, not a curated record. Lineage: Eukaryota; Metazoa; Chordata; Ceratodontiformes; Protopteridae. The transcript has 3 exons.